GCCCGGCUAGCCUAAUGGUAAGGCGUUUGACUUCUAAUCUCAUGAAUAGCUAAACAGCUAAAACAUGACAUAUACGAUAUCAAAAGAUUGUGGGUUCGAUCCCCACGUCGGGUG
Paecilomyces variotii is the source of this 114-nucleotide non-coding RNA. NCBI's taxonomy places the organism in Eukaryota, Fungi, Ascomycota, Eurotiomycetes, Eurotiales, Thermoascaceae. The record is from the annotation of a RefSeq genome assembly.